Molecule: ribosomal RNA, 1285 nt
Filed under: metagenome
Description: bacterial SSU rRNA
Rfam family: Bacterial small subunit ribosomal RNA
Source: RNAcentral
UAGCUAGUUGGUGAGGUAAAGGCUUACCAAGGCGACGAUCUGUAGCGGGUCUGAGAGGAUGAUCCGCCACACUGGAACUGAGACACGGUCCAGACUCCUACGGGAGGCAGCAGUGGGGAAUUUUGGACAAUGGGGGCAACCCUGAUCCAGCCAUGCCGCGUGAGUGAAGAAGGCCUUCGGGUUGUAAAGCUCUUUCGGCCGGGAAGAAAUCGCAUGGGCCAAUACCCUGUGUGGAUGACGGUACCGGAAUAAGAAGCACCGGCUAACUACGUGCCAGCCCGCGGUAAUACGUAGGGUGCGAGCGUUAAUCGGAAUUACUGGGCGUAAAGCGUGCGCAGGCGGUUUUGUAAGACAGGCGUGAAAUCCCCGGGCUUAACCUGGGAACUGCGUUUGUGACUGCAAGGCUAGAGUACGGCAGAGGGGGGUGGAAUUCCACGUGUAGCAGUGAAAUGCGUAGAGAUGUGGAGGAACACCAAUGGCGAAGGCAGCCCCCUGGGUCGAUACUGACGCUCACGCACGAAAGCGUGGGUAGCAAACAGGAUUAGAUACCCUGGUAGUCCACGCCCUAAACUAUGUCAACUAGGUGUUGGGUGGGUAAAACCAUUUAGUACCGUAGCUAACGCGUGAAGUUGACCGCCUGGGGAGUACGGCCGCAAGGUUAAAACUCAAAGGAAUUGACGGGGACCCGCACAAGCGGUGGAUGAUGUGGAUUAAUUCGAUGCAACGCGAAAAACCUUACCUACCCUUGACAUGCCAGGAACUUGCCAGAGAUGGCUUGGUGCCCGAAAGGGAGCCUGGACACAGGUGCUGCAUGGCUGUCGUCAGCUCGUGUCGUGAGAUGUUGGGUUAAGUCCCGCAACGAGCGCAACCCUUGUCGUUAAUUGCCAUCAUUUAGUUGGGCACUUUAACGAGACUGCCGGUGACAAACCGGAGGAAGGUGGGGAUGACGUCAAGUCCUCAUGGCCCUUAUGGGUAGGGCUUCACACGUCAUACAAUGGUCGGUACAAAGGGUUGCCAAGCCGCGAGGCGGAGCCAAUCCCAGAAAGCCGAUCGUAGUCCGGAUUGCAGGCUGCAACUCGCCUGCAUGAAGUCGGAAUCGCUAGUAAUCGUGGAUCAGCAUGUCACGGUGAAUACGUUCCCGGGUCUUGUACACACCGCCCGUCACACCAUGGGAGCGGGUUCCGCCAGAAGUAGGUAGCCUAACCGCAAGGGGGGCGCUUACCACGGCGGGGUUCGUGACUGGGGUGAAGUCGUAACAAGGUAGCCGUAGGGGAACCUGCGGCUG